RNAcentral lists this ribosomal RNA (456 nucleotides) under uncultured Streptococcus sp. RNAcentral's name for it is "bacterial SSU rRNA". It matches the Rfam family "Bacterial small subunit ribosomal RNA", at positions 923 to 1382 of the family's 1533-position model. The record is from RNAcentral. Lineage: Bacteria; Bacillati; Bacillota; Bacilli; Lactobacillales; Streptococcaceae.
GCACAAGCGGUGGAGCAUGUGGUUAAUUCGAAGCAACGCGAAGAACCUUACCAGGUCUUGACAUCCCGAUGCUAUUUCUAGAGAUAGAAAGUUACUUCGGUACAUCGGUGACAGGUGGUGCAUGGUUGUCGUCAGCUCGUGUCGUGAGAUGUUGGGUUAAGUCCCGCAACGAGCGCAACCCCUAUUGUUAGUUGCCAUCAUUCAGUUGGGCACUCUAGCGAGACUGCCGGUAAUAAACCGGAGGAAGUGGGGAUGACGUCAAAUCAUCAUGCCCCUUAUGACCUGGGCUACACACGUGCUACAAUGGUUGGUACAACGAGUUGCGAGUCGGUGACGGCGAGCUAAUCUCUUAAAGCCAAUCUCGGUUCGGAUUGUAGGCUGCAACUCGCCUACAUGAAGUCGGAAUCGCUAGUAAUCGCGGAUCAGCACGCCGCGGUGAAUACGUUCCCGGGCCUU